UACUGCUUAGAAAGAUUUUCAAUAUUUGCAUAAUAAUUCAUCAUUUCCCAUCAUUAUUACCAAUUGGGUUUGUAUUGAAUGCUUCACCAGCAUCUCUCUCUGCUUUCUAAACACUUGAUGAAGAGAUGAUCUGUGUACUGCUCCCUUUGAUCUUUGCCUUGACAGAUUCUUGCGGCCAAACUCUCUGAUUUUAGAAUUUGUUUCAGACAACUCAGAGAAGUGGCUACUUUGUGCUGUCACGCUGACCUGUGCUGAAAAGGACACCAAGAAAGAAAGGGGACUUAAAACUUAAAGGGCAGAACAUAAAACACAUCUCACUGAUAAGAACAGAAACAAAAAGAUGUUUAAACUACAGAUAAAACGAAAUGUUAAAAGACUUCUGGGUUUCAGCCACAUGAAGUCAUGGAGCUUUAAUUCUUGAUGGGCAAUCUGACAAGAGAGUCAAUGAAGUUCCAGAAAUCUGGGCUUUCUUCCAAAAAGAGAGAGCUCUGAAGGAGAACUGUCUUCUAGGGCAAAAAGAACACUGAAGUCCAUGUGUUUAUUUCAAAGGGCCACGCAGGGCCUUUUGCCCCACUUUGAGCUGAGAAAAACGGGUACUCUGGAGGUCACGUGACACAGAUGAAACAUUUCUGAUUUUAGCCACCACUCACUGAAAUGCUUUUCCUGUAUGAAACCGCUGAAGAUUUCUGACCUGCCUACUUCUGUUUCCCCAUAAAUAGAAAAGAAAAUUUAACUUUGCUGACAAAGAC
RNAcentral lists this long non-coding RNA (749 nucleotides) under Fukomys damarensis (Damara mole-rat). RNAcentral's name for it is "lncRNA (ENSFDAG00000033608.1)". Lineage: Eukaryota; Metazoa; Chordata; Mammalia; Rodentia; Bathyergidae. The record is from RNAcentral.